RNAcentral lists this ribosomal RNA (253 nucleotides) under uncultured bacterium. Its description in RNAcentral is "partial 16S ribosomal RNA". It matches the Rfam family "Bacterial small subunit ribosomal RNA", at positions 524 to 776 of the family's 1533-position model. The record is from RNAcentral.
UACGGAGGGUGCGAGCGUUAAUCGGAAUUACUGGGCGUAAAGCGCACGCAGGCGGUUUGUUAAGCUAGAUGUGAAAGCCCCGGGCUCAACCUGGGAUGGUCAUUUAGAACUGGCAGACUAGAGUCUUGGAGAGGGGAGUGGAAUUCCAGGUGUAGCGGUGAAAUGCGUAGAUAUCUGGGGGAACAUCAGUGGCGAAGGCGACUCCCUGGCCGAAGACUGACGCUCAUGUGCGAAAGUGUGGGUAGCGAACAGG